This 444-nucleotide ribosomal RNA is filed under the name Triticum aestivum (bread wheat). RNAcentral describes it as "partial small subunit ribosomal RNA". The record is from RNAcentral. Lineage: Eukaryota; Viridiplantae; Streptophyta; Magnoliopsida; Poales; Poaceae.
AUGCUGAAGCAACUUGAUCUGUCUUACAAUAACUUGGAAGGGUCUGUUCCUACUAGUGGGAUCUUUGAGAAAUAUGCUGCAGUAGUUCUGGGUGGCAACAAGGGACUCUGUUUAAAUUCCUCCAAGUUGAUAAAAAUAAGAAAUUCCUUCAGGCCAGCAUUACCAGUUUGUCCUCGCAUCUCAGCUUUAGUGACUAAAUCAAAACACCAUCUGUCAUUCCUGGCGACCUCGCUGCUAAUUGUACUACCAACACUUAGUAUUGGUUCCCUGGUGUUGUUAUGGUUUCUGCUCACUCUUUGGAAGAAAGGGUUGUUUUCGUCUUCACGAUGGGAUCUUGUGUCCAAGGUGUUUCCUAAUAGAAGAGAAGUGCAUACAGCCCCGUGCCAUGAUGAGAAGAAGCUGAAGAGAGUGUCAUACCAGGACAUUCUUAAAGCUACCAACUAG